UAACGUAGUCUAUUGUGAUUGGAUCCCGAUAUAACAUUGUCUAGUAUAUUGCUUUCGAUAGUCUAGCGGGUCGACAUUCGGAACUAUCUCUCGUUAGUUCUACGACUUGUGAUCACAAAGGAGAAAACAAAAGAAGUUAAUCGCACGUCUCUCGUUCGAGGAAAGUAAGCAACAGAAGAAGAGAAAUAUCCAAGCAAUCCUAAAAGAAGCUGAUCAAGGAUGAAUCUUAAAGUGUUUGUACUGCUGUGUAUCGUGCUGAUGGCUGUGAUCAUGGUGGACCAAGCAGAGGGCGGCCAAUGCCAGCGAAAAUGCUUAGGGCAUUGCAGAAAAAAGUGCCCUAAACAUCCCCAGUGUCGGAGAAGAUGCAUAAGACGCUGUUUCGGGUACUGCAUGCGACGCGGAGAUGAACCCGAACAAAUGGCUCUUGAUGAUGAGAGCGACACAUUGGUGAUCCUUCCAAACAACUUUAACGACUACUGACGACGAGGACAAGUACGGACGCCGGAAUCUCCCUAACUAGUUUAGAAAUGCUGUUCCUGCCGGCAGCAACUAAAAGGAAAAAGUUUACGUGUAACGAUAAAUUUAAACGGCUCGGAUAAAAUAUAAAAUGCCCCUCCAAGUUCCCUCGACCAAUUUUGGUGUGGAUGUAUCUGAAGGGUUUGGGUACUAAAUCUUUAGGUCUGAGCUAUUCAGGUUUGGAUCACACAAAGUAACAUCGAAGGAACUGGAUUGAAAAAAUCCAAAAAAAAGGGGAAAAAAAUGAUGAAUAAAUAAUAAAUACGAAUAAAAACGAGAUGUUA
This is a long non-coding RNA of Actinia tenebrosa (Australian red waratah sea anemone), 800 nucleotides long. NCBI's taxonomy places the organism in Eukaryota, Metazoa, Cnidaria, Anthozoa, Actiniaria, Actiniidae. The record is from RefSeq and is a predicted model, not a curated record.